RNAcentral lists this ribosomal RNA (382 nucleotides) under Neopachylus bellicosus. RNAcentral's name for it is "partial small subunit ribosomal RNA". The record is from RNAcentral. Lineage: Eukaryota; Metazoa; Arthropoda; Arachnida; Opiliones; Gonyleptidae.
AUACCCUGGUAUACUUAUUAAUUUUAGAUUAAUAAAGUUUUGAAAAUUAAAAAUUUUGGCGGUUAAAUUAUAAAUUUAGAGGAGCUUGUUUAAUUGUUGGAUAUCAUUCUUUAUAUUUUAGUAUUAAAAAGUUUAUUCAUCUCUGUUAUUAAAUUUAUAAUUUAAAGACAAUAAAUUUGAGUAUUUCAGGUCAAGAUGUAGCAUUAAAUAUAAGAAAUUAGCUACAAUUAUGAAAUAUAUGGAUAGAAUUAUACAAUUAGUUAUUAUAAAUUGAAUUUAGUUGUAAUAAUUACUAGAAUGUAAUUGUGAUUUUGUAUAAUUAAUGUACAUAUUGCCCGUCACUUCUCUAUUUAGAAAGUGGAGAAUAAGUCGUAACAAAGUA